This 22-nucleotide microRNA is filed under the name Sus scrofa (pig). Its description in RNAcentral is "ssc-miR-10391". Lineage: Eukaryota; Metazoa; Chordata; Mammalia; Artiodactyla; Suidae. The record is from miRBase by way of RNAcentral.
AAGGAAGGAGACUAACUCCGCC